GACGAACGCUGGCGGCGCGCUUAACACAUGCAAGUCGAACGGAAAGGCCUGCUUUCCCUUGUGGAUUGCGGGUACUCGAGUGGCGAACGGGUGAGUAACACGUGAGUGAUCUGCCCCCAACUUGGGUAUAAGCCUGGGAAACUGGGUCUAAUUCCCGAUAGGACUGCAGGGUGGUGCCUGUGGUGGAAAACGAUUUUCUAGUGGUUGGGGAUGGGCUCGCGGCCUAUCAGCUUGUUGGUGGGGUAAUGGCCUACCAAGGCGGCGACGGGUAGCCGGCCUGAGAGGGUGGACGGCCACAUUGGGACUGAGAUACGGCCCAGACUCCUACGGGAGGCAGCAGUGGGGAAUAUUGCACAAUGGGCGGAAGCCUGAUGCAGCGACGCCGCGUGGGGGAUGACGGCCUUCGGGUUGUAAACUCCUUUCGACCGCGAGGAAGCCACCUGGUUGGAAGGGUGGUGACGGUAGUGGUAGAAGAAGCACCGGCUAACUACGUG
Molecule: ribosomal RNA, 494 nt
Filed under: uncultured bacterium
Lineage: Bacteria
Description: partial 16S ribosomal RNA
Rfam family: Bacterial small subunit ribosomal RNA
Source: RNAcentral